GGGUUGUGAGGUUAAGCGACUAAGCGUACACGGUGGAUGCCCUGGCAGUCAGAGGCGAUGAAGGGCGUGCUAAUCUGCGAUAAGCGCCGGUAAGGUGAUAUGAACCGUUAUAACCGGCGAUACCCGAAUGGGGAAACCCAGUGUGACUCGUCACACUAUCAUUAACUGAAUCCAUAGGUUAAUGAGGCGAACCGGGGGAACUGAAACAUCUAAGUACCCCGAGGAAAAGAAAUCAACCGAGAUUCCCCCAGUAGCGGCGAGCGAACGGGGAGGAGCCCAGAGCCUGAAUCAGCAUGUGUGUUAGUGGAAGCGUCUGGAAAGGCGCGCGAUACAGGGUGACAGCCCCGUACACAAAAGCGCAUGUGCUGUGAGCUCGAUGAGUAGGGCGGGACACGUGGUAUCCUGUCUGAAUAUGGGGGGACCAUCCUCCAAGGCUAAAUACUCCUGACUGACCGAUAGUGAACCAGUACCGUGAGGGAAAGGCGAAAAGAACCCCGGCGAGGGGAGUGAAAAAGAACCUGAAACCGUGUACGUACAAGCAGUGGGAGCACCCUUUGGGGUGUGACUGCGUACCUUUUGUAUAAUGGGUCAGCGACUUAUAUUCUGUAGCAAGGUUAACCGAAUAGGGGAGCCGGAGGGAAACCGAGUCUUAACCGGGCGUUAAGUUGCAGGGUAUAGACCCGAAACCCGGUGAUCUAGCCAUGGGCAGGUUGAAGGUUGGGUAACACUAACUGGAGGACCGAACCGACUAAUGUUGAAAAAUUAGCGGAUGACCUGUGGCUGGGGGUGAAAGGCCAAUCAAACCGGGAGAUAGCUGGUUCUCCCCGAAAGCUAUUUAGGUAGCGCCUCGUGAAUUCAUCUCCGGGGGUAGAGCACUGUUUCGGCUAGGGGGCCAUCCCGGCUUACCAACCCGAUGCAAACUGCGAAUACCGGAGAAUGUUAUCACGGGAGACACACGGCGGGUGCUAACGUCCGUCGUGAAGAGGGAAACAACCCAGACCGCCAGCUAAGGUCCCAAAGUCAUGGUUAAGUGGGAAACGAUGUGGGAAGGCCCAGACAGCCAGGAUGUUGGCUUAGAAGCAGCCAUCAUUUAAAGAAAGCGUAAUAGCUCACUGGUCGAGUCGGCCUGCGCGGAAGAUGUAACGGGGCUAAACCAUGCACCGAAGCUGCGGCAGCGACGCUGAUGCGUUGUUGGGUAGGGGAGCGUUCUGUAAGCCUGUGAAGGUGGCCUGUGAGGGUUGCUGGAGGUAUCAGAAGUGCGAAUGCUGACAUAAGUAACGAUAAAGCGGGUGAAAAGCCCGCUCGCCGGAAGACCAAGGGUUCCUGUCCAACGUUAAUCGGGGCAGGGUGAGUCGACCCUAAGGCGAGGCCGAAAGGCGUAGUCGAUGGGAAACGGGUUAAUAUUCCCGUACUUGGUGUUACUGCGAAGGGGGGACGGAGAAGGCUAUGUUGGCCGGGCGACGGUUGUCCCGGUUUAAGCGUGUAGGUGUGUGUUCCAGGUAAAUCCGGUUCACUUUAACACUGAGGCGUGACGACGAGGCACUACGGUGCUGAAGCAACAAAUGCCCUGCUUCCGUGAAAAGCCUCUAAGCAUCAGGUAACAUCAAAUCGUACCCCAAACCGACACAGGUGGUCAGGUAGAGAAUACCAAGGCGCUUGAGAGAACUCGGGUGAAGGAACUAGGCAAAAUGGUGCCGUAACUUCGGGAGAAGGCACGCUGACAUGUAGGUGAAGUGAUUUACUCAUGGAGCUGAAGUCAGUCGAAGAUACCAGCUGGCUGCAACUGUUUAUUAAAAACACAGCACUGUGCAAACACGAAAGUGGACGUAUACGGUGUGACGCCUGCCCGGUGCCGGAAGGUUAAUUGAUGGGGUCAGCGCAAGCGAAGCUCCUGAUCGAAGCCCCGGUAAACGGCGGCCGUAACUAUAACGGUCCUAAGGUAGCGAAAUUCCUUGUCGGGUAAGUUCCGACCUGCACGAAUGGCGUAAUGAUGGCCAGGCUGUCUCCACCCGAGACUCAGUGAAAUUGAACUCGCUGUGAAGAUGCAGUGUACCCGCGGCAAGACGGAAAGACCCCGUGAACCUUUACUAUAGCUUGACACUGAACAUUGAGCCUUGAUGUGUAGGAUAGGUGGGAGGCUUUGAAGUGUGGACGCCAGUCUGCAUGGAGCCGACCUUGAAAUACCACCCUUUAAUGUUUGAUGUUCUAACGUGGACCCGUAAUCCGGGUUGCGGACAGUGUCUGGUGGGUAGUUUGACUGGGGCGGUCUCCUCCUAAAGAGUAACGGAGGAGCACGAAGGUUGGCUAAUCCUGGUCGGACAUCAGGAGGUUAGUGCAAUGGCAUAAGCCAGCUUGACUGCGAGCGUGACGGCGCGAGCAGGUGCGAAAGCAGGUCAUAGUGAUCCGGUGGUUCUGAAUGGAAGGGCCAUCGCUCAACGGAUAAAAGGUACUCCGGGGAUAACAGGCUGAUACCGCCCAAGAGUUCAUAUCGACGGCGGUGUUUGGCACCUCGAUGUCGGCUCAUCACAUCCUGGGGCUGAAGUAGGUCCCAAGGGUAUGGCUGUUCGCCAUUUAAAGUGGUACGCGAGCUGGGUUUAGAACGUCGUGAGACAGUUCGGUCCCUAUCUGCCGUGGGCGCUGGAGAACUGAGGGGGGCUGCUCCUAGUACGAGAGGACCGGAGUGGACGCAUCACUGGUGUUCGGGUUGUCAUGCCAAUGGCACUGCCCGGUAGCUAAAUGCGGAAGAGAUAAGUGCUGAAAGCAUCUAAGCACGAAACUUGCCCCGAGAUGAGUUCUCCCUGAGACUUAGAGUCUCCUGAAGGAACGUUGAAGACGACGACGUUGAUAGGCCGGGUGUGUAAGCGCAGCGAUGCGUUGAGCUAACCGGUACUAAUGAACCGUGAGGCUUAACCUUACAACGCCGAAG
Molecule: ribosomal RNA, 2926 nt
Filed under: Salmonella enterica subsp. enterica serovar Muenster
Lineage: Bacteria; Pseudomonadati; Pseudomonadota; Gammaproteobacteria; Enterobacterales; Enterobacteriaceae
Description: 23S ribosomal RNA
Rfam family: Bacterial large subunit ribosomal RNA
Source: RNAcentral